AGGUCAAAGCUCAGUAGUAAAGCAUGAGACUCUUAAUCUUAGGGCUGUAGGUUCGAGCCCCACACUGGACUA
Molecule: non-coding RNA, 72 nt
Organism: Podarcis lilfordi (Lilford's wall lizard)
Lineage: Eukaryota; Metazoa; Chordata; Lepidosauria; Squamata; Lacertidae
Source: the annotation of a GenBank genome assembly